AUGGAGAGGGAUGUCUCCGGCAAGAAGGAGGUCACCAUCGCCGUCAACCCAGAGCAUGCUGUGUGGGUUACCCAGGACCAGCAGGCGCUUUCGUUUUUGAUCGCUUCCCUUUCUCGCGAAGUGCUCCUGUAGGUCAGCAUCUGCACGACGGCCGCCGCCACCUGGAGUGCUCUCCUUCAGAGCUUCUCCUCGCAAUCCCGCGCCCGCAUCAUCCAGCUUCGCAAUCAGAUCGGCCACACCAAGAAGGGCGAUCUUUCGGCGGCUGCCUACUUCACCAAGAUGAAGGGGCUCGCUGACGAACUUGCAGCUGCCGGGAGGCCCCUGGAUGAAGAUGAUGUCGUCUCUCACAUCAUCCAGGGGCUCAUGCACGAGCCGGAGUACAGCGGGUUCGUGUCCGCCGUCUCCACGCGCACCAUCACUGACCAGCCAAUCGGCCUAGGCGAGUUAUUCUCGCUGCUGCUUGCUGUUGAGUCACGCAUCGCCGCACAGACCUCCGCCUACUCCGCCAACCUCGCUACAAAAGGCGGAGGCCGUGGCAACUCCAACUAG
This 549-nucleotide ribosomal RNA is filed under the name Triticum aestivum (bread wheat). RNAcentral describes it as "partial small subunit ribosomal RNA". The record is from RNAcentral. Lineage: Eukaryota; Viridiplantae; Streptophyta; Magnoliopsida; Poales; Poaceae.